Mustela lutreola (European mink) is the source of this 1078-nucleotide long non-coding RNA. RefSeq lists it as uncharacterized. NCBI's taxonomy places the organism in Eukaryota, Metazoa, Chordata, Mammalia, Carnivora, Mustelidae. The transcript has 3 exons. The record is from RefSeq and is a predicted model, not a curated record.
UUUAUGACCACAAUGCUGAGAAAGUGUCAGGUGCUCCGAGACGCGGUCCUUGGCCUGAAGACGCAUCUGCGACGAAAGCCACUCUCUGGAACGGAAGUGUCACCAGCGAUUUUCCUCGUAAAAAAGUGGUAACCGCGACCCUGGGGCUUUGUGCUGCGGGCGCACCACAGCUUCCUUCGCUCUGAAGAAGCCCAAGGGGACACGUUGGGCUCCCUCAGGCUGCACUAUUAACAAGUAUUAACUGGGAAUUAGUUGGGGACAGUGACCCACGGCUUGGACCUCCUGCCCUUCGGGCAGUCGUGAGCGCUGGUGGACACGCUCUGCCCAUCCACGCAAUGGGCUGGCCCUGGACACCUUCCUCUCAUGUCACUGUGGGCAUCUGCACGCUGGGCUCACACAUCUGGCAGGUUACCCGCCUGGUGGACACGCUCUGCCCAUCCACGCGACGGGCUGGCCCUGGACACCCUCCUCUCACGUCACCGUGGGCACCUGCACGCUGGGCUCACACGUCUUGCAGUGGUGAGGGAGAUGGCAACACCCAGCUCCAGCCUUCCGUCCUACGGGGGAAUAAAGUCUGCUUAAGGAGAGUUCUCUUUCCCAAGAGAACCGGCAAAGUCCCAGGAAUUCAUUCUGAUCGGCCAGAACCAGCUGUCAUACCUCUCAAGUAUCUGGAAAGCAGCUAAGCCCCACGGAAGCAGGGAGAGGAGGAGAAUGAGUCUCAAGCAGCCACCAUGGGACUCCAUCUCACAACCUGGAGAUCAGGACCCAAAGUCGAAAUCAACAGUGGGACACUGAACCAGUGGAGCCACCCAGGCACGUCCUAUAUCCGGGUGGCUUUAAGCAUUCUACGGAUCCUGUGACAGCCUGUUUCCAACUAGAAAAAUGAGAACAAUACGGACACCUCCUCCAUAGGGUCUGUAUGAGGAUUAAGUAAGAAGUCAUCUGUUUAGUGGGUUCCUGACACUGGGUAAACUCCUAGCCAAGCACUGUUACAAAUUUGUUGGCAUCAGACCCAAUAUUUAAGGAUGUCCCCACUCUAGAGGAUCAUAGAAUCACUGCAUUUCUCCCCAGGCUCCUC